AACGUGUCGCGAUGGAUGACUUGGCUUCCUAUUUCGUUGAAAAACGCAGUAAAGUGCGAUAAGUGGUAUCAAUUGCAAAAUCAUUCAAUUACCGAAUCUUUGAACGCAAACGGCGCAGGGGAAAAGCUCUAUUGGGUCAUCCCCGUGCAUGCCAUAUUCUCAGUGUCAA
This 169-nucleotide ribosomal RNA is filed under the name Leishmania tropica. RNAcentral describes it as "5.8S ribosomal RNA". It matches the Rfam family "5.8S ribosomal RNA". Rfam says of the family: 5.8S ribosomal RNA (5.8S rRNA) is a component of the large subunit of the eukaryotic ribosome. It is transcribed by RNA polymerase I as part of the 45S precursor that also contains 18S and 28S rRNA. Lineage: Eukaryota; Euglenozoa; Kinetoplastea; Trypanosomatida; Trypanosomatidae. The record is from RNAcentral.